UGCGUAGGUGGUUUUGUUAGUCUUUCGUUAAAACUCUGGGCUCAACCCAGAGAUCGCGAAGGAAACGGCAUCACUAGAGGACGUGAGAGGCCACAGGAACUCAUGGUGUAGGGGUGAAAUCCGUUGAUAUCAUGGGGAACACCAAAAGCGAAGGCAUGUGGCUGGCGCGUUCCUGACACUGAAGCACGAAAGCGUGUAGCGAACG
RNAcentral lists this ribosomal RNA (205 nucleotides) under uncultured bacterium. Its description in RNAcentral is "partial 16S ribosomal RNA". It matches the Rfam family "Bacterial small subunit ribosomal RNA", at positions 568 to 774 of the family's 1533-position model. The record is from RNAcentral.